This 788-nucleotide long non-coding RNA is filed under the name Olea europaea (common olive). Its description in RNAcentral is "long non-coding RNA (OEUR_LNC002786)". Lineage: Eukaryota; Viridiplantae; Streptophyta; Magnoliopsida; Lamiales; Oleaceae. The record is from RNAcentral.
GAAGUAAAGAUUACAAAGUAUACAAAGGGAAAGGAAAGUAUUUUCCCAAAUUAAUCAGUGUAAAUUUUCAAAAGGUAAAUCUUUCUGGCUAACAUGUAUGGUAGCCUUAGUAAUUGGAGAAGGAGAAACGAUAUCAGAAGCCGAAGGUGGCUCAAUAAUAGGGGCAGUUUCAACUAAUGAAACAAUAACAAGGGGUUUGUAAGCUGAGGAGGCUCAACUAGGAGUGAUGGAGGUAUCUAAGGCUUCAAAGGUUAAAGAGGCCUCAAAAGAUAAGAUAUUAGUGACAUUUUCUUCACAGGCCUCUAGAAAGUUCAUAUUCAAAUCAGGAUGAAAAUCCCUAAUAAUGUCAAGUAUAUCGUUAUCCACUUCAAUGAGUUUGGCUUCGCAAGCGCCUACCUCAACAAGGCUAGACUCUGUAAUAGCAAGCUUUGUUUCACUACUUUCUACUCAAUUGCGAUGCAAGGCUAAUUCAUUUGUCACUUUUUCAAGGUCUCUAGCAGAAAUGUAUUGCUCAAACUCUGUCAAUCGAAUUUCCUCUCGAAGUUUGGAAAUCUCAUGAUUAGACUUCUCAGUAAAGGCUUGAUGAUUCUUUUUUACUUACUCCAAAUCUUCAUAAGUUCUACGAAUAUCAGCUGGCAGGGUAGCUUCUUUGUUGUAUAAACUUCAGCUCUUCUGGCUAACUCUUUAAAUUUCGCCUUUUCUUUCUUUGUCGCCUCUAUUUUUCUUUUGAAGAACAUCACAUUUUUCUUUAAAGAAUGCACUUUCUUGUCCAAAAUGUUAGCUCGCAG